GUCUUUUUGAGUUUUAUUUAAAGUCGAACCUGCCCAUUGAAAAUUUUAAAAGGCUGCGGUAUAUUGACCGUACAAAGGUAGCAUAAUCAUUAGUUUUUUAAUUGAAAACUGGAAUGAAUGGUUGAAUGAAAAAUUAACUUUUUUAAAAUAAUUAAAGAAUUUUACUUUUUAAUCAAAAGGUUAAAAUAAUAUUAAAAGACGAGAAGACCCUAUAGAGUUUUACAAUUUAUUUAAUUUUAGUUUUUUUAGAAUAAUAUAAAAGAAAAAGUAUUUAUAAUUUAAGUUUAAUUAAAAAGAUUAUUUUAUUGGGGUGAUAAUAAAAUUUAGUAAACUUUUAUUUUUAGUUACAUUAAUAAAUGAUUUAAUUGAUCCAUUAUUAAUGAUUAAAAAAUUAAAUUACCUUAGGGAUAACAGCAUAAUUUUUUUUUAAGUUCAUAUUAAUAAAAAAGAUUGUGACCUCGAUGUUGGAUUAAGAUUUAAUUUUAGGUGCAGAAGUUUAAAGUUUUAAGUCUGUUCGACUUUUAAAUUCUU
RNAcentral lists this ribosomal RNA (531 nucleotides) under Pseudoaerumnosa sp. JSSCI1. Its description in RNAcentral is "partial 16S ribosomal RNA". Lineage: Eukaryota; Metazoa; Arthropoda; Insecta; Diptera; Sciaridae. The record is from RNAcentral.